CAUUAAGAAGCUAUGCACCAAGCACUAGCCUUUUAAGCUAGAGAAA
This 46-nucleotide transfer RNA is filed under the name Xenoperdix udzungwensis. RNAcentral's name for it is "partial tRNA-Lys". Lineage: Eukaryota; Metazoa; Chordata; Aves; Galliformes; Phasianidae. The record is from RNAcentral.